Molecule: long non-coding RNA, 1096 nt
Filed under: Gallus gallus (chicken)
Lineage: Eukaryota; Metazoa; Chordata; Aves; Galliformes; Phasianidae
Source: RNAcentral
CUUCUAUUAGCUUUGAAAAACCCCAGAAAUCCUUUCUUUUCUUUUUCUAUUGCAUCGUUGCUUAGUGAAACACUUCGACUUGGUUCUCUUUUUCGGUCCCAGGCGUACAGCUCGCUUAUUCCCAGCUCCUCCAAGGAUUUGGUAAGCUCCAGCUCCUCGCCAGUGAUGCUGUCUCGCAGAAGAACAAUGUGCUCCUGACUGACCUCACACUUUUCACAAAUAGCUGGGAUGAUGUUGUGAAGGGGCACGUCCGGGCUGACUCGAACCACUGCCUUCUGUGUCUUCAGGUAAUUUACCACCAGCCUCACAGACUUCUCAGGAGCCCUCGGCAGAGGUCUCUUGAUCUUCUCUUCAGGAACCUUCUCUUUCAGGAGUACUGUCUGUACGUCCAGUGCUCCUAUCAAAGUGUUUGGCUUGUAACUCAAAGGUUGUUGAGUUUCCAAAGACUUCAAUUCAAGACUGUACUGGGAUGGAUUCAAGUGAUACCGGCUGCAUAGAUCAACCAAAAGAUCCAUCACAGCUUUACUUCCUUGUACUGUGCUCUUCUGUUCCACCCCGCUGGGUAAAAUGACUGUGAAGUCCACCAUUCUAUUUAUCAUAUUCUCCUUCAUGCUCACAAGGCUCUGAUCAGAAAUUACGGCUGUCUCUGCAGGUGACUUGUGCUCACUGUGAAUUCUACUGGUUGCAGAAGGUUGGUUUGGUGGAGGAGGAGCACGAGCUUUCAUUCUUCUCCCGCUGGGCGGCUUGCCGGCCGUGGGGCGGACGAGAGUCUCCAUGGGUGUUCUGAAGGGUCCCGACGCGAAGAGAAGCGAAGGUCGAAGAGGAGAGGGAAACGGGGCAGCGAGUGAGCAAUGUCCCCCCACGCCCGCACGCUUUCUCCCCGGCCCGGCCGCGCUCCCGCAGCCGCUGGCGGGGCGGGGAAAGGGCAAAGUUACCGCUCCCCGCUCCGCGGCGGGCGGCACUCCCGGCUUGGGGCGGGAGCCCGGCGGGAAGGAGGGAGGAAGGCAGGGAGCGCGACGGCCGCCCCCAGGGCCGGGACGGACACGCCGCCCGAGCUGCGACUGGUCGACCGGGCCCUCCUACCUGCGGGCGCUCG